CACCCGCGGGCUGACGGCUCUCCUAUAAAACAUGGGAGGAGGGCGAUGCAAGAUCACACACACUCACGUCAAACCUGAUCGUAGCGUGCAAGCAUUCCACGUGUGAAGAUAUAAGCAGAGAUCAUCAUGAUGAAGUUCCACACUACACUGUUCGUGAUGGCUGUUGUUGGCGCGGUAAUGCGUGAAGGAGAUACAGCCUUUACACCGACGCUGCUGGAUAAGGUUAUCACGUGUCGUGGAGACGCCACUGACGUCACAUUGUUCUUCGAAUCUUGGCUUCAAGGUGAGG
Priapulus caudatus is the source of this 289-nucleotide long non-coding RNA. RefSeq lists it as uncharacterized. The record is from RefSeq and is a predicted model, not a curated record. The transcript is spliced from 3 exons. NCBI's taxonomy places the organism in Eukaryota, Metazoa, Priapulida, Priapulimorpha, Priapulimorphida, Priapulidae.